RNAcentral lists this ribosomal RNA (380 nucleotides) under uncultured eukaryote. Its description in RNAcentral is "partial 18S ribosomal RNA". It matches the Rfam family "Eukaryotic small subunit ribosomal RNA", at positions 592 to 976 of the family's 1831-position model. The record is from RNAcentral.
CAAUAGCGUAUAUUAAAGUUGUUGCGGUUAAAAAGCUCGUAGUUGGAUUUCUGCUGAGGACGAUCGGUCCGCCCUCUGGGUGAGUAUCUGGCUCGGCCUUGGCAUCUUCUUGGAGAACGUUACUGCACUUGACUGUGUGGUGCGGUAUCCAGGACUUUUACUUUGAGGAAAUUAGAGUGUUUCAAGCAGGCGCACGCCUCGAAUACAUUAGCAUGGAAUAAUAAGAUAGGACCUUGGUUCUAUUUUGUUGGUUUCUAGAGCUGAGGUAAUGAUUAAUAGGGAUAGUUGGGGGCAUUCGUAUUUAACUGUCAGAGGUGAAAUUCUUGGAUUUGUUAAAGACGGACUACCGCGAAAGCAUUUGCCAAGGAUGUUUUCAUUGA